Molecule: non-coding RNA, 199 nt
Organism: Brachypodium distachyon (stiff brome)
Lineage: Eukaryota; Viridiplantae; Streptophyta; Magnoliopsida; Poales; Poaceae
Source: Rfam
UAGCUUUGUCCUAAGUCAAAACUUCUUCAACUUUGACCGAGUUUAUAGAAAAAUCUACUAAUAUCUACAAUAUCAAAUAAAUACACCACGAGAUGCAGACCAUGACAGAUUUAAUAAAACUAUUUAAAGUUAUAGAUGUUGGUUGAUUUUUCUAUAAACUUGGUCAAACUUUAAGAAGUUUGACUUAGGACAAAUCUAG